This 468-nucleotide ribosomal RNA is filed under the name uncultured bacterium. RNAcentral's name for it is "partial 16S ribosomal RNA". It matches the Rfam family "Bacterial small subunit ribosomal RNA", at positions 28 to 507 of the family's 1533-position model. The record is from RNAcentral.
GACGAACGCUGGCGGCGUGCUUAACACAUGCAAGUCGAACGGAAAGGCCCUGCUUUUGUGGGGUGCUCGAGUGGCGAACGGGUGAGUAACACGUGAGUAACCUGCCCUCGACUUUGGGAUAACUUCAGGAAACUGGGGCUAAUACCGGAUAGGAGCUCCUGCUGCAUGGUGGGGGUUGGAAAGUUUCGGCGGUUGGGGAUGGACUCGCGGCUUAUCAGCUUGUUGGUGGGGUAGUGGCUUACCAAGGCUUUGACGGGUAGCCGGCCUGAGAGGGUGACCGGCCACAUUGGGACUGAGAUACGGCCCAGACGCCUACGGGAGGCAGCAGUGGGGAAUAUUGCACAAUGGGCGGAAGCCUGAUGCAGCAACGCCGCGUGCGGGAUGACGGCCUUCGGGUUGUAAACCGCUUUCGCCUGUGACGAAGCGUGAGUGACGGUAAUGGGUAAAGAAGCACCGGCUAACUACGUG